GAUGAACGCUGGCGGCGUGCCUAAUACAUGCAAGUCGAGCGAACGGACGAGAAGCUUGCUUCUCUGAUGUUAGCGGCGGACGGGUGAGUAACACGUGGAUAACCUACCUAUAAGACUGGGAUAACUUCGGGAAACCGGAGCUAAUACCGGAUAAUAUUUUGAACCGCAUGGUUCAAAAGUGAAAGACGGUCUUGCUGUCACUUAUAGAUGGAUCCGCGCUGCAUUAGCUAGUUGGUAAGGUAACGGCUUACCAAGGCAACGAUGCAUAGCCGACCUGAGAGGGUGAUCGGCCACACUGGAACUGAGACACGGUCCAGACUCCGACGGGAGGCAGCAGUAGGGAUCUUCCGCAAUGGGCGAAAGCCUGACGGAGCAACGCCGCGUGAGUGAUGAAGGUCUUCGGAUCGUAAAACUCUGUUAUUAGGGAAGAACAUAUGUGUAAGUAACUGUGCACAUCUUGACGGUACCUAAUCAGAAAGCCACGGCUAACUACGUG
Molecule: ribosomal RNA, 496 nt
Filed under: uncultured bacterium
Lineage: Bacteria
Description: partial 16S ribosomal RNA
Rfam family: Bacterial small subunit ribosomal RNA
Source: RNAcentral